RNAcentral lists this ribosomal RNA (386 nucleotides) under uncultured Pelotomaculum sp. RNAcentral's name for it is "bacterial SSU rRNA". It matches the Rfam family "Bacterial small subunit ribosomal RNA", at positions 992 to 1382 of the family's 1533-position model. Lineage: Bacteria; Bacillati; Bacillota; Clostridia; Eubacteriales; Desulfotomaculaceae. The record is from RNAcentral.
UGACCGCGUAUGAAGUACGUUUUCACCUCGGGUGACAGGGAGACAGGUGGUGCAUGGUUGCGUCAGCUCGUGUCGUGAGAUGUUGGGUUAAGUCCCGCAACGAGCGCAACCCCUACGUUUAGUUGCUAACAGGUGAAGCUGAGCACUCUAGACGAACUGCCGUUGACAAACGGAGGAAGUGGGAUGACGUCAAUCAUCAUGCCCCUUAUGUUCUGGGCUACACACGUGCUACAAUGGCCGGUACAGACGGAGGCGAAGCCGCGAGGCGGAGCAAAUCCGAAAAAGCCGGUCUCAGUUCGGAUUGCAGGCUGCAAUUCGCCUGCAUGAAGUCGGAAUCGCUAGUAAUCGCAGGUCAGCAUACUGCGGUGAAUACGUUCCCGGGCCUU